This 1665-nucleotide long non-coding RNA is filed under the name Zea mays. Its description in RNAcentral is "long non-coding RNA (ZMAY_LNC001680)". Lineage: Eukaryota; Viridiplantae; Streptophyta; Magnoliopsida; Poales; Poaceae. The record is from RNAcentral.
CCGAACAGAGCAAUUGGAAUUUUAGUAUUAUAAUUCGUUGAACUUCGGAAUUGUAGUAUCUGCGUCAGAUUUAGCUGCAGUAAUCCUCGUUUUUACGGCAGUCCGUUUCUUACAACGGAUCCACGGAGCUCCUCUCCCCGAGCGCUGCUCUUCCUCGGGCAUCUCCACCGCGCGGAUGGUGAUGGUCCCGGGCGGCGUCGCGCCGCUGCACUCCCACCCGGGAGGCACCGAGCUCAUCUUCGUCAUCGAGGGCAGCGUCGUCUCCGGCUUCAUCAGCGCCACGCUCAACAGGGUGUACACCAAGACGCUGUACGCCGGCGACUGAUGGUGCUCCCGCAGGGCCAGCUCCACUUCCAGUACAGCCACGGCAACACCACGGCGGUGACGCACUGACGCUGUCCUCGUUCAGCAGCGACAACCCCGGCCUGCAGAUCCUCGACUUCGCGCUCUUCGCCAACGACCUGCCCACAGAGGUCGUGAACAAGGUGACCAACCUGGACGAACUGCAGAUCGUCAAACUCAAGGCGCUGUUCGGAGGGAGGGGCUAGACGCAUAUGUACUCCGUAUAUAGGAACAGUCAACGGUGUUGAUCAUUGAAUUGUGUGUAUUAUUCUAUACUUGUGAUGGAUAUUUAUCUUGUCAUUCUAUAAAAUAAAUUGUAACGCGGGCAGCAAGCGUGAGAGCGAAAGUAGCUGCCACAUUUGAUGUACUAAUAUUUACAUCUCGAUUGUUAAUAAUAAUACAUUAUUAGCGCUAGUUUGAUGACCCUAUUUUUUAAGAAAUUUAGAUAAAUUGUUGAGAAUCGCUGGUAAAAAUGAAGAACCAUUCAAAUUAACAGAUUUCUUUGAGAAGAACCAUUCCAACUUCUUCAGCGUAACUCUGCCCGUCAAAUCACUAGGUAAAGACUGACAUCUAAGAGAAUGAUAAAUUAGACAAAAUAAAAAGGAAAAAAGAACUGAUUCGAUGUCUCCAUUAACUAGUAGCCCCAAAGCUGCAUCUAACGUCAGAUGCUCAAGACACUGCACAGGCGUCAUCAGAACGGGAGAUGGGAAGUAAGAAUUGGGCGUGUUUUCGGGAAUAUUUACCUCUGCCUGUUCCGUUCCAGUCACUCAAGAAGAAGGCGCCUGCGCAUACGACAUCGCGGCGAUAGAGUAGAAAGGCGUGAACGCGGUCGCCAACUUCGACCUGAGAUCCUAACGUCACAUGGCUGAAAGUGGCUGGAACCAAGUGCAGCUCCGGCAGCCUUCAACCCAGAGGCGGCGGCGCGGCGCUCGUGAUGCAGGCAGCUCCACCGCCAGGUGGAGACGACCCAGAUGCUCCCGCGAGGCAGGUUCCUACUCGACCAUAGCAGUAGCUGCGGCGGCGGCAAGGAGGCCCCUAUGUCCAUGGCGUCUCCAGGUGCGGGCGGCAUGAGGAAGAGAGGCUCCUCAACCGCGCUCAGCCUCCUGCUCGAGGAGAGGAGGAGCGCUCGGGGAGAGCAGCGCUCGUGGAUCCGUUGUAAUAAGAAACGGAACUGCCGUAAAAACGAGGAUUACUGGGUUCAAUCUGACGCAGAUACUACAAUUCCAAAGUUCAACAAAUUAUAAUAUUAAAAUUCCAAUUGUUCUGUUCGGGAUACCUAUUUUCAGAAGCCCAAGUGUUGAUAAUAUCACGAUUCCAAAAAGC